AGUGGGCGGGGCCAGGAGCGGUGGGCGGGGCCGGCAGCGAGGGGCGGGGCCAGGGAAUGAAUGGGGAAUUGAGGUGCGCCCACGUUUAGGGGGUCCCAAGGAUGGGAGGGGUGAGGGGGAUUUGGGGUCUUCCCCCCGGGGUCCCGGGGUGAUGCUCACCCGGCUCUGCUGCUCCAGUCCCCGUAGGAAUUGUCCCCCUCGGCCCCCGGCGUUGAGGAGCCCCACACGCAGCUGCGCGUGGCCCCCCACGGGCGCCCCAUCAGGGAACCUGGGGUUCCGCAGAGGACGUAAAAUGUGCACUUUGACGAAGUGAUCCAGGCCAAGAUGAUCCAGACCUUACAGAUAUCAAAGGGAAGACUCAUCAAGGAAUGAUUUAAUCAGAACAACCAUUUUGUAAGAGCCACAGCCCAAAUUGAUCCCCAUUGUGGUGGAGAUGGCUGUCACCACCACGUCUGUCAUCGCUGCCCUGGCUGGAUUUGCUGUCUGGAAGAGCAAGCAGGCAGG
This is a long non-coding RNA of Anas platyrhynchos (mallard), 504 nucleotides long. RefSeq lists it as uncharacterized. NCBI's taxonomy places the organism in Eukaryota, Metazoa, Chordata, Aves, Anseriformes, Anatidae. The record is from RefSeq and is a predicted model, not a curated record.